CUACGGGAGGCAGCAGUCGAGAAUAAUUCACAAUGGGGGGAACCCUGAUGGUGCAACGCCGCGUGGAGGAUGACGGUCUUCGGAUUGUAAACUCCUGUCAUCUGGGAGUAAGACCUGGCUGUUAAUAGCAGACAGGGUUGAUAGUACCAGAAGAGGAAGGGACGGCUAACUUCGUGCCAGCAGCCCGCGGUAAUACGAAGGUCCCGAGCGUUGUUCGGAAUCACUGGGCGUAAAGGGAGCGUAGGCGGCGCGGUAAGUCAGAUGUGAAAUCCCGGGGCUCAACCCCGGAACUGCAUCCGAUACUGCCGUGCUAGAGGAUUGGAGAGGUAGCUGGAAUUCUUGGUGUAGCAGUGAAAUGCGUAGAUAUCAAGAGGAACACUCGUGGCGAAAGCGAGCUACUGGACAACUCCUGACGCUGAGGCUCGAAGGCUAGGGUAGCGAAAGGGAUUAGAUACCCCUGUAGUCCUAGCAGUAAACGGUGAACGGCUUGGUGUGAGGGGAAUCGACCCCCCUUGUGCGGAGCUACGCGUUAGCGUGCCGCCUGGGAAGUACGGUCGCCAAGACUAAAACUCAAAGAAAUUGACGGGGACCCGGCACAAGCGGUGGAGUAUGUGGCUUAAUUGGAUGCAACGCGAAGAACCUUACCAGGCUUGACCUUGGAUUUUUAAGCACCUGAAGCGUGUGACCCUUCGGGGAACUUCCACAGGUGCCGCAUGGCCGUCGUCAGCUCGUGUCGUGAGAUGUUGGGUUAAGUCCCGCAACGAGCGCAACCCCUUGUGAUUAGUUGCCAGCGCGUUAUGUGGGAACUCUAAUCAGACUGCCCAGAUCAACUGGGAGGAAGUGGGACGACGUCAAGUCAUCAUGGCCCUUACGCCUUGGGCUGCACACGUACUACAAUGCCCAGCACAAUGAGAACCGAUACCGCGAGGUGGAGGAAAUCUAUAAAACUGGGCCCAGUUCGGAUUGGAGGCUGCAACUCGCCUCCAUGAAGUUGGAAUCGCUAGUAAUGGCACAUCAUCUACGGUGCC
Molecule: ribosomal RNA, 1028 nt
Filed under: uncultured Verrucomicrobiota bacterium
Lineage: Bacteria; Pseudomonadati; Verrucomicrobiota
Description: bacterial SSU rRNA
Rfam family: Bacterial small subunit ribosomal RNA
Source: RNAcentral